GACGAACGCUGGCGGCGUGCCUAAUACAUGCAAGUCGAACGAAGCUGUUUUAACUGGUGCUUGCACCGACUUAAACAACUGAGUGGCGAACGGGUGAGUAACACGUGGGUAACCUGCCCCAAAGCGGGGGAUAACAUUUGGAAACAGAUGCUAAUACAGCAUAACCACCGAAACCACAUGGUUUCUGUGUCAAAGAUGGUUUCGGCUAUCACUUUGGGAUGGAACCGCGGCGUAUUAGCUAGUUGGUAAGGUAAUGGCUUACCAAGGCAAUGAUACGUAGCCGAACUGAGAGGUUGAUCGGCCACAUUGGGACUGAGACACGGCCCAAACUCCUACGGGAGGCAGCAGUAGGGAAUCUUCCACAAUGGACGAAAGUCUGAUGGAGCAACGCCGCGUGAGUGAAGAAGGUUUUCGGAUCGUAAAACUCUGUUGUCAGAGAAGAACGUGUGCGAGAGUAACUGUUCGUGCAGUGACGGUAUCUGGCCAGAAAGCCACGGCUAACUACGUGCCAGCCGCCGCCGUAA
RNAcentral lists this ribosomal RNA (524 nucleotides) under uncultured bacterium. Its description in RNAcentral is "partial 16S ribosomal RNA". It matches the Rfam family "Bacterial small subunit ribosomal RNA", at positions 28 to 523 of the family's 1533-position model. The record is from RNAcentral.